CUUUUUCUUCUCGAGGGCCCAUAAUACUUUACACUUUUCUCCAGAAUACGUUUUACUCCUUCUCCAGCUUUAUUGAGUUGAAGACAAAGGCCUAAUUGAAGAGUUGAGCUGAAGAUGGAAAAAUUAAGCUGAAGAUCAAAGAACUUAGUUGAAGAUUUCUUCAAUAACUGCGAUUCGCUUCUCGUCGUAUUGUCUUAGUUGUCAUGACAUGUGAUAAUCCCUGUGGAGAAACUUGAUGUGGAGGGCUUAAUGCUUCAGAAGGCAAUUGUUAUUCGCCACAUGGAUGACUUUUCUGCAAAGAAGGCCUCAAAAUAUGUUGGUUGCUCUAUGGCUCUAACUACAUUGGAGAGGAUUGAGGAAGGGAAAGUUCGAGAACACACUGGUAAAUUCAUGUGCUUUUCCCUGUGGAAUUCAGCUGUGUUACCUUCAACAUAUUACGUGGAGGGAUCUUCGAUGUGGUUGUUGUCAUGAUAUUGAAGCAUGGUCGUGUCUUUUAGAGAUGUGGCCCAGAGACAAGGUGUACCUCUCUCAUCAGAAGAUGGCAGAUUAUAAGUAUGUGCCCGGAGAAAAUCCAAUCUUUAUGAAUGAGAAGAUGUCAAGAAUUGAGAAAGAUAGUGUGGUGCGUUUCAUCGUGGUUGGAACAAGGUAUGUGGAGGUGGAGAAGGAAUUCCAAGCAGUCAUGAUCUUGGAGAGUGAUUAUCUCGGACACCAUCUCACAAAACUCUGUGUAUAUUUGGGUUAGUCGCCAUGAUUGGCUCAUUUUGACAUAGAAGAGUCACUUGUAAAGCUAACUACUGUAGCUAUAUCUAUGUUUAGUACUAUUUGAAUUGAAAGUGACUUUUCUGUUGAUGUUGCAGAACCUCUCUGAAGUGUCUGUACUGAUUUUGUUACUUAAGCCCUCAAGUGGUCAUGUGAAUGUUAAGGUGUACCAUGUUUUCACAAAUACAUUUAUUUAUAUUUCAUGAUACUCAUAAGGUUAUUACAAUAAAUUUUUAUAGGAAACUUCUCAUUCCCUAUUAGAUAUGUUUAGUGACUUCAUUUAGGAAGAUUUGUGCUUUUCUAAUUGGAUUAGUGUUUUGGGUGUCAUACAUAUGUUGCUUCUUAGUUUUGCUUUGCUUCCUUAUUCUAAAAGAAAUGGUUGCAAGUAUUCUGAAGUAUGGACUUGCUGGUUAAUAUCCCUACAGAACCAACGCCAGUUAUGGCAUUACUGUUCAUCUUUUUCCUGCCAACUAACUGUAGUAAGAUCAGGUAGUGUUUUUUUCAGCUUUUGAUUUUCUGUCAAAACUGACUUUUUGUGCAAUAUAGGCAGAGAAAGGAGGACAUUACAGGUGCAUUUUACAAAAAAGUUGAUUCAAUCAGUAGAACAUGUUAUGAUAUGUCAAACGAUUUUUCUGAAAAUAAUGGGUAGUGACAACACUCAUAGACCUGAAGGUGUAUGGGGGGGAGGUUAUCUGAUACUUCCAUGUAGUUUUUCUAGUAGAACUGGUUGAACGCUUGCCGUAGUGUAUGCCUCUAGCUAUAUGCUAUGAUGUACAUAUUAUUGCAUUUGUCCUUUUUCAAAGAGAACGAAAGUUUGUGCUACUGAUAGGGCGCAAACAGUGGUCGAAAGAACUUGUUCAAAGAAGGGUGAUAUGGUUCUUGCUCAAUCUAGUCCUGAUAAUUCAUGGAACCGAGCAAUGGUAUGUGAUCCAAUAACUCUAUUGCUCUUAAUUUAUUUUAUUUACUUAGUCCCAUACGCCUUUAAACAGUUGAAGAUAUGACUUGAAUUACUAAGUACCCUAACUUUGUGUUAUUCUAUUAUAUGAAUGUAAAUUACUUGUUUGGUAUGACGUCAAACAAUUGAAUAUAUAGUUAUGAAUGUCUAUUCUUCUUCUGGUACCAUUCUGUUUUUAGGGUGCGUCAUAAUAAAAUGUUAUCACUUCGUGGUAAGAAAAUUGAACACAACUUAUUAAUAACUAGGUGUUGUCUCUCGAAUUAAUUUGGAACUGUGAUAUAUUAUAUGCAAUUUGGAAAUAAUAUGAAACUUGAACUGUAAUCUGCAAUCUUCAGUUUGGUUUUAAUAGUCCAAAAGAAGUAUAAUAGCGACUUGAAUUUGUUCGUCAGGAAGCAGUGGAUUCUUAUAAUAGAGAGAAGCAUGCCAGAGAUACAACAAAGAAACUGCAGGUUUCCCUUUCAGAAGAGCUCAACAAGAUACUGCAAGUGGAAAUCAGAAGGCAAGAAAGAAUCUCAGGCAUAUUUGUUUGGCUUCAUUACAGUGUUGAAUCAAUUGGUAAGAGCAUAGCUUUAAAAUCCUAAUAUCUGCAAAUCCAAUCACUAAGUAAUACAUACAAGGGGUUACAAGAGUACAACAAAGAGUUACAGGAUUAUAGCACUAGGCUUCAGAUUGACCUUGGUACAGUCAAUGAAACACUGAAGCACGUGGAGAUAGAGAAAGCUGCAGUGGUUGAAAAUAUCAGUGGACCAAGGGGCCAUUAUACUGCUUUAUAGGAACAUCUCACUUCUUCUAGAGUAAGUCUUUGAUUAGUUGUUUCAUCAGCUAUUGCUAUUAAAGUUGCUUGCAUCACCAGUAAUACUUUCAUGAACUGUUAUUAUAGAAUCUAUAAAGUGAACUAAAAACGCAGUCUACAAUCUUUUAUCAGGAACUGCUGCAAUCGGGAACUGAUCAGGAACUUUUCGCCGCCUCAGUAACUUUUGCAAUCUGAUUUUGUUGUACAUUUUAAAUUUGUAGGGAAAUGGAGGUGAUCAAACUUGAACGGUCGCCACAAGUCAACUUGAUCUUAUUUAUGUGGGUGGUGAAGAGUUUUUGAACUAUUGUGAAAGACUGAAUACAUUAUGUUCGAUUUUGUGAAAUAUAUUUAUUGGUGGAAUAUAUUGAUCUAUUGUAAGAGUACUUUUUGAACUAUUGUGUACACAUUUAGAAUAUUGUUUUAUAAGUAUGUGCAUGUACACAA
This is a non-coding RNA of Solanum lycopersicum (tomato), 2951 nucleotides long. The record is from RefSeq and is a predicted model, not a curated record. Lineage: Eukaryota; Viridiplantae; Streptophyta; Magnoliopsida; Solanales; Solanaceae.